CUUCGGAUGUGUAUAAAGUGGCGAACGGGUGAGUAGCACGGUGGGCAACCUGCCCUUUGCACUGGGAUAGCCUCGGGAAACCGAGGUUAAUACCGGAUACUCCAUAUUUGUCGCAUGGCGAAUAUGGGAAAGCUCCGGCGGCAAAGGAUGGGCCCGCGGCCUGUUAGCUAGUUGGUGGGGUAGUGGCCUACCAAGGCAAUGAUGGGUAGCCGGGUUGAGAGACCGACCGGCCAGAUUGGGACUGAGACACGGCCCAGACUCCUACGGGAGGCAGCAGUGGGGAAUCUUGCACAAUGGGCGAAAGCCUGAUGCAGCGACGCCGCGUGCGGGAUGAAGGCCUUCGGGUUGUAAACCGCUUUCAGCAGGGACGAGGCCGCAAGGUGACGGUACCUGCAGAAGAAGCCCCGGCUAACUACGUGCCAGCAGCCGCGGUAAUACGUAGGGGGCAAGCGUUAUCCGGAUUCAUUGGGCGUAAAGCGCACGUAGGCGGUCUGUUAGGUCAGGAGUUAAAUCUGGGGGCUCAACCCCUAUCCGCUCCUGAUACCGGCAGGCUUGAGUCUGGUAGGGGAAGAUGGAAUUCCAAGUGUAGCGGUGAAAUGCGCAGAUAUUUGGAAGAACACCGGUGGCGAAGGCGGUCUUCUGGGCCAUGACUGACGCUGAGGCGCGAAAGCUAGGGGAGCGAACAGGAUUAGAUACCCUGGUAGUCCUAGCUGUAAACGAUGGACACUAGGUGUGGGGAGAUUAUACUUUCCGUGCCGCAGCUAACGCAUUAAGUGUCCCGCCUGGGGAGUA
RNAcentral lists this ribosomal RNA (792 nucleotides) under uncultured bacterium. RNAcentral's name for it is "bacterial SSU rRNA". It matches the Rfam family "Bacterial small subunit ribosomal RNA", at positions 78 to 882 of the family's 1533-position model. The record is from RNAcentral.